Molecule: ribosomal RNA, 465 nt
Filed under: uncultured bacterium
Lineage: Bacteria
Description: partial 16S ribosomal RNA
Rfam family: Bacterial small subunit ribosomal RNA
Source: RNAcentral
CCUACGGGAGGCAGCAGUAGGGAAUCUUCCACAAUGGACGAAAGUCUGAUGGAGCAACGCCGCGUGAGUGAAGAAGGGUUUCGGAUCGUAAAGCUCUGUUGGUAGAGAAGAAAGAGAGAGGGAGUAACUGGCCUUUAUUUGACGGGAAUUACUUAGAAAGUCACGGCUAACUACGGGCCAGCAGCCGCGGUAAUACGUAGGUGGCAAGCGGUGUUCGGAUUUAUUGGGCGUAAAGCGAUUGCAGGCGGUUCAAUAAGUCUGAUGUGAAAGGCUUCGGCUCAACCGGAGAAUUGCAUCAGAAACUGUUGAACUUGAGUGCAGGAGAGGAGAGUGGAACUCCAUGUGUAGCGGUGGAAUGCGUAGAUAUAUGGAAGAACACCAGUGGCGAAGGCGGCUCUCUGGUCUGCAACUGACGCUGAGGCUCGAAAGCGUGGGUAGCGAACAGGAUUAGAUACCCUGGUAGUC